Molecule: ribosomal RNA, 253 nt
Filed under: uncultured bacterium
Lineage: Bacteria
Description: partial 16S ribosomal RNA
Rfam family: Bacterial small subunit ribosomal RNA
Source: RNAcentral
UACGUAGGGCGCAAGCGUUGUCCGGAAUUAUUGGGCGUAAAGAGCUUGUAGGCGGUCUGUCGCGUCUGCUGUGAAAAUCCGGGGCUCAACCCCGGACUUGCAGUGGGUACGGGCAGACUAGAGUGUGGUAGGGGAGACUGGAAUUCCUGGUGUAGCGGUGAAAUGCGCAGAUAUCAGGAGGAACACCGAUGGCGAAGGCAGGUCUCUGGGCCACUACUGACGCUGAGAAGCGAAAGCAUGGGGAGCGAACAGG